CUUGACGGAGCCGAGCCACAGCGGCCGGUCGGUUUCCCGGCCCUGCCCGUAGGUGGCCAGGAGCGCCUGGGCCUC
This 75-nucleotide antisense RNA is filed under the name Streptomyces sp. 2112.2. Its description in RNAcentral is "ASpks TB sRNA". It matches the Rfam family "ASpks TB sRNA". RNAcentral also lists the same sequence under 1 other name. The record is from RNAcentral. Lineage: Bacteria; Bacillati; Actinomycetota; Actinomycetes; Kitasatosporales; Streptomycetaceae.